AGCGAACGCUGGCGGCAGGCCUAACACAUGCAAGUCGAACGGAUCCUUCGGGAUUAGUGGCGGACGGGUGAGUAACACGUGGGAACGUGCCCUUUGGUUCGGAACAACUCAGGGAAACUUGAGCUAAUACCGGAUGUGCCCUUCGGGGGAAAGAUUUAUCGCCAUUAGAGCGGCCCGCGUCUGAUUAGCUAGUUGGUGAGGUAAAGGCUCACCAAGGCGACGAUCAGUAGCUGGUCUGAGAGGAUGAUCAGCCACAUUGGGACUGAGACACGGCCAAACUCCUACGGGAGGCAGCAGUGGGGAAUCUUGCGCAAUGGGCGAAAGCCUGACGCAGCCAUGCCGCGUGAAUGAUGAAGGUCUUAGGAUUGUAAAAUUCUUUCACCGGGGACGAUAAUGACGGAACCCGGAGAAGAAGCCCCGGCUAACUUCGUGCCAGCCGCCGCCGUAA
RNAcentral lists this ribosomal RNA (448 nucleotides) under uncultured bacterium. Its description in RNAcentral is "partial 16S ribosomal RNA". It matches the Rfam family "Bacterial small subunit ribosomal RNA", at positions 29 to 523 of the family's 1533-position model. The record is from RNAcentral.